AACAGAAGUUUGCAGAGCCUAAAUAUCCGAACCUUGGAGGAGUGGAAAUGAAUCAGUAUUUUAUUUAUGAAAUUAAGAUAAUUAGACUUAAGAUAAAAUGUGAUGGAUCCAACGUAAAGCCACUUCACUAAAUCUGAAAAGCAAGAUUACAUCGUGUGCACCACCCAAAGGCUAAUUACGAUCAAUCACCACACACAUGUGCUUGAUCACAUUCUCCUCCCUCCUUCCCCGCUUCCCCUCUGGAAGAUUUGCCCUGAGCUAACAUCUGCUGCUAAUCUUCCUCUUUUUGUAUAUGAGCCACGACGACAGCAUGGCCUCUGACAGAGGAGUGGUGUAGGUCUGCGUCCAGGAACUGCACCCAGGCUGCCAAAGCGGAGCAUGCCGAAAUUAACCACUAGGCCACUGGGGCUGGCCUGCUUAGUAACUUUUUAAACUUAAAAUAUCUUGGUGACAUGUCUGUGCUUAUAGAUCUACCUCAUUUUGGUAAUGGCAUAGGAUUCUAUAUAAAAGACAAAUCAUAAUUUAGCUAACCCUUCCCCAGUGGAUAGAGUUUGAGUUCCCAGUUACCUACCAUCACAAACACUCCUGUGACAAUCAUCCUUGCACCCAUAUCUUUUGGCUCACUUCUACAAGUAUGGGCUUCCUUCUCUAAUGCUAUGUAUGAGCUCCUAAAAAUCCUUACGUUCUUCAAGAUGGUGCAGUUAAGAUACCAGGACAUAAAAUAGAGUGUGGCAGAUCACUCAACACCUAUCCCUCUUGGAAACUAGAGCACCAACAAAACCAAGUUGAUAAUUGGGGACAUCAUGUGGGCUGUCCAGGCAAGAGAGCUCUGUGUGCCUGGGGCUGCCACGGUGGAGAUUAAAAAUGUACAAAGUCAGUAAAUGGAAAUGCUGAUAAAAGUAGGGCUG
This 908-nucleotide long non-coding RNA is filed under the name Equus asinus (donkey). Its description in RNAcentral is "lncRNA (ENSEASG00005028597.1)". Lineage: Eukaryota; Metazoa; Chordata; Mammalia; Perissodactyla; Equidae. The record is from RNAcentral.